AGCGAACGCUGGCGGCAGGCCUAACACAUGCAAGUCGAACGAACCUUUCGGGGUUAGUGGCGGACGGGUGAGUAACACUUGGGAAGGUGCCUUUAGGUUCGGAAUCACUCAGUGUGACUUGUGCUAAUACCGAAUGUGCCCUUCGGGGGAAAGAUUUGUCGCCGAUAGAUCGGCCCUCGUUUGAUUAGCUAGUUGGUUCAGUUAAUGUCCCACCCUGGCGACGAUAACUAGCUGUUCUGAGAGGUUGAUAAAGUACAUUGGGACUGAGACACGGCCCAAACUCCUACGGGCGGCAGCAGUGUCGAACCGUGUGCAACGGGCGAAAAUCUGACGCAGCCAUGUCGCGUGAAUCAUGAAGGUAUUAGGAUUGUAAUAUUCUUUGACCGGGCACGUGAAUGACGGUACGCGGAGAAGAAGCCCCGGCUAACUUCGUG
RNAcentral lists this ribosomal RNA (434 nucleotides) under uncultured bacterium. RNAcentral's name for it is "partial 16S ribosomal RNA". It matches the Rfam family "Bacterial small subunit ribosomal RNA", at positions 29 to 507 of the family's 1533-position model. The record is from RNAcentral.